RNAcentral lists this ribosomal RNA (597 nucleotides) under uncultured fungus. RNAcentral's name for it is "eukaryotic LSU rRNA". The stretch from base 232 to 385 matches the Rfam family "5.8S ribosomal RNA". The record is from RNAcentral. Lineage: Eukaryota; Fungi.
CUAGGGUCAUUUAGAGGAAGUAAAAGUCGUAACAAGGGUUUCCGUAGGUGAACCUGCGGAAGGAUCAUUAAUGGGUUCAUGGCCUCCGGGCCGCAAUCCCCACCCUUCGCAACCGCGGCCACGAUUCGGCGCAAGGGCGAGGCCCCCUCUGUUCGCGGAGGGUCCCCGUCCGCCGGAAUCACGCAACCCUGCCUGAAAAAUGUAGUCUGAGAAACAUGAAAAAUUAGCGAAAACUUUCAACAACGGAUCUCUUGGUUCUGGCAACGAUGAAGAACGCAGCGAAAUGCGAUAAGUAAUGUGAAUUGCAGAAUUCAGUGAAUCAUCGAAUCUUUGAACGCACAUUGCGCCCCCUGGUAUUCCGGGGGGCACACCUGUUCGAGCGCCAUUUCAACCCUCGAGCCCUGCUCGGUGAUGGGCGACGCUUUAAUUUACUAGGCGCGCCCGAAACUCGUUGGCGCCGUCGUCCGGCCCUGAGCGUAGCAAGAGAAAUCCCUCGCUCGGUGGACCGUCCGGCGGCCGCCCCGACCAUUUUCACAAGGUUGGCCUCGGAUCAGGUGGGAAUACCCGCUGAACUUAAGCAUAUCAAUAAGCGGAGGA